AAUCAACGCUGGCGGCGCGCUCAACACAUGCAAGUCGCACGAAAAAGGGAGCACUCCUGAGUAAAGUGGCGUACGGGUGAGUAACACGUGGGAAUCUACCUCUUGGCGGGGAAUAACCCUGGGAAACCGGGGCUAAUACCUCAUAAGCUCUGGAGAGGAAAGCAGCAAUGCACCGAGAGAGGAGCCCGCGGCCGAUUAGCUAGUUGGUGGGGUAAUGGCUCACCAAGGCGAAGAUCGGUAGCCGGCCUGAGAGGGCACACGGCCACACUGGCACUGAAACACGGGCCAGACUCCUACGGGAGGCAGCAGUGGGGAAUCUUGCACAAUGGGGGAAACCCUGAUGCAGCGACGCCGCGUGAGCGAUGAAGCCCUUCGGGGUGUAAAGCUCUUUCGACAGGAACGAUAAUGACGGCACCUGGAGAAGAAGCUGCGGCUAACUACGUG
This 444-nucleotide ribosomal RNA is filed under the name uncultured bacterium. RNAcentral describes it as "partial 16S ribosomal RNA". It matches the Rfam family "Bacterial small subunit ribosomal RNA", at positions 29 to 507 of the family's 1533-position model. The record is from RNAcentral.